Molecule: small nuclear RNA, 107 nt
Organism: Camelus dromedarius (Arabian camel)
Lineage: Eukaryota; Metazoa; Chordata; Mammalia; Artiodactyla; Camelidae
Source: Ensembl
GUGCUAGCUUCAACAGCACAUAUACUAAAAUUGGAACGAUACAGGGAAGAUUUGCAUGGCCCCUGGGCAGAGAUGACACGCAGAUUCGUGAAGCAUUUCAUAUUUUU